CCUACGGGCGGCAGCAGUAGGGAAUUUUCGUCAAUGGGCGCAAGCCUGAACGAGCAAUGCCGCGUGAACGAGGAAGGUCUUCGGAUCGUAACGUUCUGUAGAAGGGUAAAAAGAGCGGAGAGAGGAAAUGCUUUCUGAUUGAUAUUACACUUCGCGGAAGUCACGGAUAACUAAGUGCCAGCAGACGCGGUAAUACGUCGUUGGCGAGCGUUAUCCGGCAUGAUUGGGCUUAAAGGGUGCGUAGUCGGCCUGGUAAGUCUGGAGUGAAAGGUACCGGCUCAACCGGUACAGGCUCUUGAAACUGGCGGGCUAGAGAGCAGGAGAGGGCGGUGGAACUCCAUGUGUAGCGGUAAAAUGCGUAGAUAUAUGGAAGAACACCAGUGGCGAAGGCGGCCGCCUGGCCUGUUACUGACGCUGAGGCACGAAAGCGUGGGGAGCAAAUAGGAUUAGAUACCCCAGUAGUC
This 464-nucleotide ribosomal RNA is filed under the name uncultured bacterium. RNAcentral describes it as "partial 16S ribosomal RNA". It matches the Rfam family "Bacterial small subunit ribosomal RNA", at positions 338 to 795 of the family's 1533-position model. The record is from RNAcentral.